GCUCUUAUGGUGUAAUGGUUAGCACUCUGGACUUUGAAUCCAGCGAUCCGGGUUCAAAUCCCGGUAGGACCU
This is a transfer RNA of Phytophthora infestans T30-4, 72 nucleotides long. It matches the Rfam family "tRNA". From Rfam's summary of the family: Transfer RNA (tRNA) molecules are approximately 80 nucleotides in length. The record is from Rfam. NCBI's taxonomy places the organism in Eukaryota, Oomycota, Peronosporomycetes, Peronosporales, Peronosporaceae.